GUUUGUGAUGGUGUUUUAGCUCUGACAUUGACCACUUUAUUGAGUAGUAAGUUUGUUUAAUUGACUUGGCUAGCUAGGUAUGUAUCUCUUUUCCUCUUCACCUCUCUGCCCAUGUGUCUUUAGAUUGUAUCACAGAGAACAAACUUUCCAGGUGGGAAAGGGCUGUUUAUUAGCCAAAGGUAUAAUGUAA
This 190-nucleotide small nuclear RNA is filed under the name Equus caballus (horse). RNAcentral's name for it is "7SK RNA". It matches the Rfam family "7SK RNA", at positions 1 to 200 of the family's 331-position model. From Rfam's summary of the family: 7SK was discovered as an abundant small nuclear RNA in the mid-70s but a possible function has only recently been suggested. Two independent studies have found that 7SK RNA binds the CDK9/cyclin T complex (known as elongation factor P-TEFb). The record is from Rfam by way of RNAcentral. Lineage: Eukaryota; Metazoa; Chordata; Mammalia; Perissodactyla; Equidae.